This is a long non-coding RNA of Macaca mulatta (Rhesus monkey), 2646 nucleotides long. RefSeq lists it as uncharacterized. NCBI's taxonomy places the organism in Eukaryota, Metazoa, Chordata, Mammalia, Primates, Cercopithecidae. The record is from RefSeq and is a predicted model, not a curated record.
GUCUCAAAAAAAAAAAAGAUCAUUUGUUCAAUGUCCCUUUUUCUCACUGCCAGGCCAGGGCUCUUGUCUGCACCAUGGAACCCAUUAUGGCUUGAGCCUUUCCAGAUCAAUUCUCCAUAAACCUAAUGAGGACAUUGGAAAGGUGAGCUGAGGCCAGAGUGGGACGAUAAGGAGGACGACUGCGCCAUCUGCUGGGCAUCUCAGGCAAGCUCCAGCUGUGCCCAGGUUGAGGCAGGAAUGGAGAAACCACAGGCUUUUGAGUUGAAAGCCCCAGAUACAAGUUCCAGCUCAGCCCCGGACUACUUUGAGCUGACUUCUCCUCAGUAAAAUGCACAAAUACUUGUGAAUGGAUGCUCCAAUAACCUGAGAAGGUUGUGUGAAGAGGUAAGAUGGUAUCUAAGGAAACGUUUCAAGUGCCCUCAUGUGCCACACAGAUGAGGAGAUUUAUCAUUAUAUCAUGAGAAAAAAGCUGAAAUUGGAUGUCAGGGCAUGUAUUAUUACAAUUCUUUUUUAUUUUUAUUUUGAGACAGAGUCUCACUCUGUUACCUAGGCUGGAGAGCAGUGGUGCGAUCUCAGCUCACUGCCACCUUGAUCAAGCUCAAGCAAUCCUCCCACCUCAGCCUCCUGAGUAGCUGGGACUGCAGGCACACACCACCAUGCCCAGCUGAUGUUUGUAUUUUACGCAGAGGCAGAGUUUCACCAUGUUGCCCAGGCCAGUCUCAAACUCUUGGCCUCAAGUGAUCUGCCCGCCUUGGUAUCCCAAAAUGUUGGGAUUGCAGGCACAAGCCACUGCGCUCGGCCACAAUUCUUUUGAACAAUUCUUCUUCCUUUUGCUUAAGCAAAAGAGGAAUCUUUUGGUUCCAAUGACAGUUGUCAGUAGUCAUCAGGACUAAUCACAAAUAUCCCGCUUCUCUUCCGUCCUGGCACAUGGUAGGAUUCAGCUUCUCUGCUCUUUCAUGGUUAGAUGUGCCCACAUGAUUUGACUGGUACUUCUGGGCAGCAGCUUUAAGAUCACAGGUACAAUUUGCCAUAGUCCCUUUCCCUGCCUUGGUGAUUGUGGAGGCAUGUGUUGAGAUGAAGCUUCCAUCAUCUUAGGCCCUUAGUGAUUACAGUGAGCAGAAUACCCACCCUUCUCCUCCAACCUGCAGUGAAUGUACAGCAUUGGCAAAGAAACUUGAGUUGUGUAAAAAGCCACGACAACCUUGGGAUUGUUUGUUACUGCAGCAUAACCUUGUAUUGAGUAUAUGUUCUUAUUUUCUGUAUUCUUCAUGCUCUAGCAUUUGGGUCGUUGAUCCAAAGAAGCCGCCCCAUCCAGGGCUAGCAAAUUCCUAGAGAGAGACAGAGACAGAGAGAGAGAGAGAGGUAGAGAGAGAGAGAGAGAGAGAGCGAGCGCACACAAACAAUUCUCCUGGGAGCAUGCCUUUGAUGUACAAACCAACUAAUCCAGAGCCCACACUCCCAACCAUCUUCUUCUUUUUAAAACCAAACUUUCACAUGCCAAGCCAAUAUUCCCCUUGCCCUAAGUCACCCUAGGGCCAGACGACUAGGUACCAUCCCUAUGGCCCUGAACCCACCCAAAUUAUUCAAACUAUCCAACCCUAAACUUAGUGAGCAUAUAUACCUUGUCUUAACCAUUCCUUCCUAUGAAAACCCCAAUAAAGGCUUGGGGCCAUGCUCUCCCCUCUCCCUGCCUCCUGACCAACACUUAUCCUUCUGAACCACGUGGCCCCGUGUGCCACACCUCCUGCUUCUAGACUCUAUGAGCACAAACUUCUUCCUUCAUGAUAAUCAUUUCCAUGUCUCUGUGCCUUAUGUCUUAACAUUCCUGAUUAAAACAAAUCCUGAGAACACCUGGCACAGUGAGCAGGGUGGUUUGAUGCCAGAUGGAGAUGGAAUGUCCUUAGACUGAUCUUGAUUUGCUACCUGGACCCAACAGACAGCAGCCACUGCUUAGCAAGGCACAGCUGGGAGUAGAGUGCUCAGACUUCCUGCUUGAUGGCUACUGCAUUGGGUUGUGUUUUUUGUCAGGUGUUGCCAUUAUUUCCCAGCUUGAAAUUGUGAUGCUCGAGAAGCUGAGUCCCGGAGCUGCCUCAUAGGCUGGUGUCAUGUGUCUGGGACUAACCUAUUUCUCCACGGUGGUGGAGCACCCAGGAUUCAGGACAGAGUGCCUGGGGUUAUAUAAGUAAUUGGCUACAUUUGUUUCUCAAAAGGUCCCUCUGAAGGGGACCAGGAGUGACUGGCUACCCUCUUUAUGCCAAGGGACAAGUCUGAUCCACUGACUGAGGAUCACUGACAACACUGGGGUCAUGAGAGUCAUUUAGAUGAAAGUGCCUAGUGUCUAGGAUGUGAUAGCUCCUGAGGACACUCAUAAACCACUUUCCCUUUUCCCUCUGGGCUUUGCUGAGUCAAAUUUCAGCCUCUUCCUUGGAGUACUGCGAGAGCACUUCUCUGAAUGCUUGCUCCUUGCUCGCGCAUGUGUUGAGGGCCAUUCAUGGGGUCAGUGUGAAGGGCUCCUCCAGGGAUUACGGCAUCCCACAAAUGUUCAGAUCACACACUUCUCUGCUGUCUGCUUGCUGCUGUCACGAUUUAUUUCCCAACCCAGGGGUAAAUAAGAAGUCCCCUUCCUAGAGACAAGUGACUCAACUU